UGAGCCCCUCCGACAGCCUGGAGCCCAGCGAGGAGACCCCCACACCACAGCCAGCCUGCAGCCCCGGAGACGAGCCGCCCCCCAUCACCCCCACCCCACUGCCAUCUUAAACCCCUCCGCCUGCCUCUCUUUAAACGCCCUGCCGCUGAUCUGGAGGGGCUUUGAGUUCACAGCAGCUCCUGCUGCAUCGUCAUUAUUUUUGUAAUUUUGAUCUCCUGUUUUGUUUUAUUGGGGUGGGUUCUGGUUUAGUAGGGAAAGGGCAUGCGGAAUACAGGCAGGCGUUCAAGAAUGGAAAGCCAAGACUGCUUCUGUGUUUUUGGGUUUUUUUUCUUCAAAGAAGUGAUGGCACGUUGACCUGAGCAUAACAAAAAAUUCUAAUAAGUCUAUGAGGCUUUUGAUUUUUCAUUUUGUUUGUUUGUUUCUGUUUUUCUGGUUUACUGGUACCUUUUUAUAACAAGGGGCUGUGUAGCCGAUCGGUUUUAAUUCUUGGGACAGGUUGAUCCAAACAAAUAUAGCAGAUCAGUUUAAAAAAAAAAAAAAAAAAAAAAAAAACUGCAGUGAGAAUAACCCAGGCCCCAGCAGGGUUACAGCAAUGAGAGAAACUGUGUCUGAGAGCAGUAACCCAGGGAGGCGACAUUACUGUCAGGUAACAACCACACUGACUGGGGAGACUGAUAGAGGAGUCCAGUAUUGGACAGAGCUGUGGGGCUUCCCAGGGGACUGAUAGAGGAGUCCAGUAUUGGACAGAGCUGUGGGGCUUCCUGGGGGGGCUGAUAGUCUUUCAUAUUCUUGUCUCCAGCCAGGCCUGUGUUUGGACUGUGCAGUUCAUCUUUGGCAUGACCUCACCCUCUUCUCUCCCCCAGACAAGCUUUUUCAUGUUACUACCCGCACCACAGCACCACCUGCUGGAUAUAACAGGGAGAACAGUAUGAACGAGUGUGGCUCCUGUUUCCUAUGACCAGUGUUUACGAGAGCGUGUAAGAGUCCCUGCUGCUCACAAGGACGUGAAUUCUCCUGCAAACGUGUGUCUGUACCGUCGGCAACCCUUAUCAUUGCUUCUUAUUAAUGCAAUAAAGACGAAAGUCCUCCUAGCUCAGAAUGUGUCUUUGAGAGUAGCAGGGAUCCCAAGUGCUCUGUGUAAAAGCCUCACCCUCUCCCCUCCCCUACCAGACUCUAUAAGGGCUACCCUGUAUAGAUACCCACAAAGCCUCUAUUCACUGCAGAGGUGUUUAUACCAGUGCUGCACUGCUACCCUGUAUAAAUACAAACACUGCCUCCAUUCACUGCAGAGGAGUUUAUACCAGUGCUGCACUGCUACCCUGUAUAAAUACAAACACUGCCUCCAUUCACUGCAGAGGUGUUUAUACCAGUGCUGCACUGCUACCCUGUAUAAAUACAAACACUGCCUCCAUUCACUGCAGAGGUGUUUAUACCAGUGCUGCACUGCUACCCUGUAUAAAUACAAACACUGCCUCCAUUCACUGCAGAGGUGUUUAUACCAGUGCUGCACUGCUACCCUGUAUAAAUACAAACACUGCCUCCAUUCACUGCAGAGGAGUUUAUACCAGUGCUGUGCUCUAGUUCCCUGUAUAAAUACCCACACUGCCUCCAUUCACUGCAGAGGUGUUUAUACCAGUGCUGCACUCUGCUACCCUGUAUAAAUACAAACACUGCCUCCGUUCACUGCAGAGGUGUUUAUAACAGUGCUGUGCUCUAGUUCCCUGUAUAAAUACAAACACUGCCUCCAUUCACUGCAGAGGUGUUUAUAACAGUGCUGUGCUCUAGUUCCCUGUAUAAAUACCCACACUGCCUCCAUUCACUGCAGAGGUGUUUAUAACUGCUGAACUCUCCCGGGCAGCCCAGUGGAAACCCCUUGGUCUGUUAAUGAGACUGAACUGUGUUUGCACUGGCCACAUUCUCAAUGAUUCCCACAGCCAGCUCAUUGUUUUAAUGGCUUCAGCUAUACAGGUGGGUGUAGUAUAGCAGGUAGAGAAGGAGAUAGAAUUGGGUCCUGUCCCUUCAUCACAUCUCUUCUCUGGAUCCCUGUGCGCUGGUUUAGCCAAUGCCAUUGAGAACCUGCUCAAUUCCAUACAGUACAGCAGCAAUGCAUUGAAGGGAAUUCCAAUAGAGUAAUAUUGUUGCAUGCUGCUGGUUAACAGCAUGUUGAUUUGAGAAGGCUGUCCUGGGCAGUGGGAUCACAGUGCAAGUGUUCUGUACUAGCCCAGGUUCCAGUCCUGGUUCUGUGUGUGGAUGGGAUAUCCCAGCCUGGUCUCCUUGAUUUCAGUGUGCUCUAAAUAUUGGAAGCAGGUUUGGGCAGGGAUGAUUAUACCACCCUUUGCAAGACAUUCAUUACCAGCACAGUGACAUCAAACCCAUGCUUUACAACAGCUACACAUUGGAGGACUGCUGACCCAUUGUUUGUACUAAGGUUAUAAAGAGACUUAACUGACAAAUAAUAUUAUGCAUUUCCUAUGAAUUGAUUGUACUUCGAUUACCUAGAUAUUUUUUUUUUGUAAUUUUGCUGCAUUCUUUUUUCUUAUUUAGGGGUUGGUUAGAAACAAAUAAAAAUGUUUUAGAUUUUUUUCUUUUUUUUUCUUUGAAAGUCUUAAGUAUGCAAGGCAGCGUUGACGUGAUUGCGCCAUUCCAAAGUGCAUCCAAACUGUCAUUCCCUUCUCUUGAAUCUUCUCAGGAUCAAUAAAGUCAGGUUUUCAGCCAUCAGUUCAGAGGGAUCCUCCUCUUCUCA
Polyodon spathula (Mississippi paddlefish) is the source of this 2743-nucleotide long non-coding RNA. RefSeq lists it as uncharacterized. NCBI's taxonomy places the organism in Eukaryota, Metazoa, Chordata, Actinopteri, Acipenseriformes, Polyodontidae. The transcript has 2 exons. The record is from RefSeq and is a predicted model, not a curated record.